Hyaena hyaena (striped hyena) is the source of this 2018-nucleotide long non-coding RNA. RefSeq lists it as uncharacterized. Lineage: Eukaryota; Metazoa; Chordata; Mammalia; Carnivora; Hyaenidae. The record is from RefSeq and is a predicted model, not a curated record. The transcript is spliced from 5 exons.
AUUUUCACAGUGCCCUGAAUAGCAGUGCUUGGUGUUUGAAGUCAUUAUUGUGGUUCAAUGAACGAGACUGAAGAUCUCAAUUAUUGAUGAGAAUAUGGAGCACUUGGAGUUCUUAUACACAACUAGCUGGAGUGCCAAAUGAGUACAAGCUACUUUGCCAGUGCCCUCCAAGCCGAACCUAAUCAACUAGUUGGCAAGUCUACUCCCAGGGGCAGCCUGCUGCCAGGUCACAUAGCCCUGCGGAGAGGCCAGCAUGGUGAGGAACUGAGACCUGCCAAAAAACACAGGAAUGAUCUUGGAUGUGGAUCCUGCAGCCCCAGAUGAAAACAUUGAAACUAAAGACUGAAACAUAUGCUGGUCAAAGUCCCAGCACUCUGAAGUAUUAGAGCUACAGCUUGAACCCAGUCUGUCUGGAGAGUUCCAGUGAGCCAGGCUCAGUCAAAACUUGAGCAUCAUAACAUCUCACCAUGAUGGAAUCAUGAUAGAAUCGGAGUUUUCGUACUAGAAGAAACCUUCCAGGUCAUAUAAUCUGCUGGCUUCCAAACACUACUCUGAAGACCCAUGUUGGUCCUGACAAGUUUUCACCAGUCUGUGGAAAGAUAAGGAAAAAAAAUAAGGAAAAUAGGAGAAUACAACAUUCUUUUCAUAAAAUUGAUUCACCCCAUUUGAAGUGAUGUCUUGUAUUCUGAUGUCUUGCUCUUCCUUCUUUUCUGGUGUCCUUUACCCUUUCCUCUGAGAUGAUUGUAAUGGUAAGUAGCCAUUAUCUCAAAAAUACCUAUUAAUCAGAUAACAAAGUUGACUGUGCUACAGUUAGGCUUCUGGUCUGUGGGUGUUUUGUGUGGUUGUUGGAUCUAUGGACUUCAAGGGUGGGAAAAUUACAGAUCUAGACCAGCUCCUUCAUUUUCAGACGAGGGAACAGAGACUCUGAGACAAUUUAUACAACUGAGAGACUCUGAGACAAUUUAUACAACUGAAGUUCACACAACUGGGAAGUUGGAAAGCUAAGACCAGAGCCUGGACUUGCUACUCCCUCUGCUUCAGGGCUGUGUCCUUCCCUAGCUAGAAUGUCAGUAUUAUUACCCGUUCUUUGGAAUGUCAGUAUUAUUCCCAUUUCAUGAGACUCUUGAAGAGGAAGGUAGUGGAGAAAAGGGAGCCUCUGUUUCUGGAGCAUCCUGAUGUGCCUGACCCAAUGCUGAUGCUUCAUGUGUAUUAUUUCCUUUAUUCCUCCAACAGCCCUAAAAAGAAGCUAAAAUUGAAAGCAUAUUAUAACUGAGGAAAACUACAUUAAAAAAUGUGAGCCAAUUUGACUCAGAAUCCAUCAAGCCAUCCUUCCGCCAACCUCCAUGUUGUCCAACAAGCAUUUGAGUGGCUUCCCUGCACAAGGGAAAUCUAAUGCUAAUGUAAUUGAAAGGUUUUAGCAAAUUAUAAAGUGAUAAAUGAAUAUCUGGUAAUUUUUUUACUAUUCCUCUCAACCAAUCCUAUGAGGCUGGUUAUUAUCUCCAUUUUAUAGAUGAGAAAUAAGCAAAGAGCAUGUAAAUAUUGCAGAGCUAAGGCUGGCUUCCUGACUCCUCAUCCUGGCCUCUGUGUUCUACACUCACUACGUUAGGGGUAUCUUAUUCUGUAGAAGAAACAUGGUGCACCAGAAACACUUUAGUCCACAAAGGAUUACAAGCCAAUCAGCCAUAAUUGUUGCUUUGAAAAGGCAGGAGCAAAAGAAGUUUGAUGGAGAUUCCAGGCAUGAAAGGGUCGUAAGUUCUGGGCUUUCCAAUACUAAGCUGUUCUCCUCCAGAUGAUUUUAAUAAUCUCCAGCACAUGUGUUCUAACCCCUUGAUGCUGUACAAUAUGUGUAACCAAAUAAAAGAUCUCUCCAGAUUUGGAGAUUUACUGUUUGUGAUGGGAAAAGGCCAACCAGAUGACAUCAUUUAUAUUCCAAAUAUGAGCUGCUGCCAAGGCUGGUGAUGUUAAGCUGGAGAAAUUGAUCCUCAACAUUAUUCUGUGAAGGAAAAAAGAAAAAAGAU